UCAGACGAACGCGGCGGCGUGCUUAACACUGCAAGUCGAACGGAAAGGCCCUUCGGGGUACUCGAGUGGCGAACGGGUGAGUAACACGUGGGUGAUCUGCCUGCACUUUGGGAUAAGCUGGGAAACUGGGUCUAAUACCGAAUAGGACCACGCGCUUCAUGGUGUGUGGUGGAAAGCUUUGCGGUGUGGGAUGGGCCCGCGGCCUAUCAGCUUGUUGGUGGGGUAAUGGCCUACCAAGGCGACGACGGGUAGCCGGCCUGAGAGGGUGACCGGCCACACUGGGACUGAGAUACGGCCCAGACUCCUACGGGAGGCAGCAGUGGGGAAUAUUGCACAAUGGGCGCAAGCCUGAUGCAGCGACGCCGCGUGAGGGAUGACGGCCUUCGGGUUGUAAACCUCUUUCANNAGGGACGAAGCGUNAGUGACGGUACCUAUAGAAGAAGCACCGGCCAACUACGUGCCAGCAGCCGCGGUAAUACGUAGGGUGCGAGCGUUGUCCGGAAUUACUGGGCGUAAAGAGCUCGUAGGUGGUUUGUCGCGUUGUUCGUGAAAACUCACAGCUUAACUGUGGGCGUGCGGGCGAUACGGGCAGACUAGAGUACUGCAGGGGAGACUGGAAUUCCUGGUGUAGCGGUGGAAUGCGCAGAUAUCAGGAGGAACACCGGUGGCGAAGGCGGGUCUCUGGGCAGUAACUGACGCUGAGGAGCGAAAGCGUGGGGAGCGAACAGGAUUAGAUACCCUGGUAGUCCACGCCGUAAACGGUGGGUACUAGGUGUGGGUUCCUUCCUUGGGAUCCGUGCCGUAGCUAACGCAUUAAGUACCCCGCCUGGGGAGUACGGCCGCAAGGCUAAAACUCAAAGGAAUUGACGGGGGCCCGCACAAGCGGCGGAGCAUGUGGAUUAAUUCGAUGCAACGCGAAGAACCUUACCUGGGUUUGACAUGCACAGGACGCCGGCAGAGAUGUCGGUUCCCUUGUGGCCUGUGUGCAGGUGG
Molecule: ribosomal RNA, 993 nt
Filed under: Mycolicibacterium mucogenicum
Lineage: Bacteria; Bacillati; Actinomycetota; Actinomycetes; Mycobacteriales; Mycobacteriaceae
Description: bacterial SSU rRNA
Rfam family: Bacterial small subunit ribosomal RNA
Source: RNAcentral